Molecule: ribosomal RNA, 397 nt
Filed under: uncultured bacterium
Lineage: Bacteria
Description: bacterial SSU rRNA
Rfam family: Bacterial small subunit ribosomal RNA
Source: RNAcentral
GACGAACGCUGGCGGCGUGCUUAACACAUGCAAGUCGAGCGGUAAGGCCCUUUCGGGGGUACACGAGCGGCGAACGGGUGAGUAGCACGUGGGUGACCUGCCCUCAGCUCUGGGAUAAGCCUGGGAAACUGGGUCUAAUACUGGAUAUGACUCCACGGUGCAUGUCGUGGGGUGGAAAGCCUUGUGCGGCUGAGGAUGGGCCCGCGGCCUAUCAGCUUGUUGGUGGGGUGAUGGCCUACCAAGGCGACGACGGGUAGCCGGCCUGAGAGGGCGACCGGCCACACUGGGACUGAGACACGGCCCAGACUCCUACGGGAGGCAGCAGUGGGGAAUAUUGCACAAUGGGCGAAAGCCUGAUGCAGCGACGCCGCGUGAGGGAUGACGGCCUCGGUGUAAC